GAUGAACGCUGGCGGCGUGCUUAACACAUGCAAGUCGAACGGGAAACCUUUUAAUGAAGCUUCCGCAGAUUUAGCUGGUUUCUAGUGGCGGACGGGUGAGUAACGCGUGGGUAACCUGCCUUAUACAGGGGGAUAACAGUCAGAAAUGACUGCUAAUACCGCAUAAGCGCACAGGACCGCAUGGUCCGGUGUGAAAAACUCCGGUGGUAUAAGAUGGACCCGCGUUGGAUUAGCUUGUUGGUGGGGUAACGGAUCACCACGGCGUCGAUCCAUAGCCGGCGUGAGAGGGUGAACGGCCACAUUGGGACUGAGACACGGCUCAGACUCCUACGGGAGGCAGCAGUGGGGAAUAUUGCACAAUGGGGGAAACCAUGAUGGAGCGACGCCGCGUGAAGGAAGAAGUAUCUCGGUAUGUAAAGUUCUAUCAGCAGGGAAGAUAGUGACGGUACCUGACUAAGAAGCCCCGGCUAACUACGUG
Molecule: ribosomal RNA, 478 nt
Filed under: uncultured bacterium
Lineage: Bacteria
Description: partial 16S ribosomal RNA
Rfam family: Bacterial small subunit ribosomal RNA
Source: RNAcentral